GAUGAACGCUGGCGGCGUGCCUAAUACAUGCAAGUCGAGCGAACAGACGAGGAGCUUGCUCCUCUGACGUUAGCGGCGGACGGGUGAGUAACACGUGGAUAACCUACCUAUAAGACUGGGAUAACUUCGGGAAACCGGAGCUAAUACCGGAUAAUAUAUUGAACCGCAUGGUUCAAUAGUGAAAGACGGUUUUGCUGUCACUUAUAGAUGGAUCCGCGCCGCAUUAGCUAGUUGGUAAGGUAACGGCUUACCAAGGCAACGAUGCGUAGCCGACCUGAGAGGGUGAUCGGCCACACUGGAGCUGAGACACGGUCCAGACUCCUACGGGAGGCAGCAGUAGGGAAUCUUCCGCAAUGGGCGAAAGCCUGACGGAGCAACGCCGCGUGAGUGAUGAAGGCCUUCGGAUCGUAAAACUCUGUUAUUAGGGAAGAACAAAUGUGUAAGUAACUAUGCACGUCUUGACGGUACCUAAUCAGAAAGCCACGGCUAACUACGUG
This 497-nucleotide ribosomal RNA is filed under the name uncultured bacterium. Its description in RNAcentral is "partial 16S ribosomal RNA". It matches the Rfam family "Bacterial small subunit ribosomal RNA", at positions 28 to 507 of the family's 1533-position model. The record is from RNAcentral.